UGAUCUCGAUCACCGUCAGAACUCCCUCUUCUACGCCGGCGAUCGAUCGAUCACACGGACAGAAGAAGGUCGUCCCCUCUUCUUCUUAAUUUUUUUAAAAAUUUGUUUAGAAUCUAGAUUAGAAUCACCGGCCCCUCACCGUCGACUUUUGUCGGUGGCCAACGGAGCAUCGGGUUGGGGGGCUGGAAGUAGUGCAUGAUAAGGAAAAGCGGCCUUCGUCGUGGCCAACAUCUUGUAGAGAAGAACGAAAAAGAGGAACGAAUGAAGAAGAAAAAAAAUCAAGAUAAUGGGUAAAGUCAAUAUUUUCUUAAAUCAAAUCGCAUCCAAAUAAAUGGAAUACGCUGAAUAG
Molecule: long non-coding RNA, 349 nt
Filed under: Elaeis guineensis (African oil palm)
Lineage: Eukaryota; Viridiplantae; Streptophyta; Magnoliopsida; Arecales; Arecaceae
Description: long non-coding RNA (EGUI_LNC032355)
Source: RNAcentral